RNAcentral lists this non-coding RNA (29 nucleotides) under Mus musculus (house mouse). The record is from RNAcentral. Lineage: Eukaryota; Metazoa; Chordata; Mammalia; Rodentia; Muridae.
CUUGGGAAAAAUAGAAGAAAGGGCUGUUU